UCGGUCGAGUUUCUUUGUUGGA
RNAcentral lists this microRNA (22 nucleotides) under Oreochromis niloticus (Nile tilapia). RNAcentral's name for it is "oni-miR-10587". The record is from miRBase by way of RNAcentral. Lineage: Eukaryota; Metazoa; Chordata; Actinopteri; Cichliformes; Cichlidae.